This 320-nucleotide unclassified non-coding RNA is filed under the name plant metagenome. RNAcentral describes it as "partial contains 5.8S ribosomal RNA, internal transcribed spacer 2, and large subunit ribosomal RNA". The stretch from base 1 to 105 matches the Rfam family "5.8S ribosomal RNA", at positions 50 to 154 of the family's 154-position model. The record is from RNAcentral.
GAAAUGCGAUAAGUAAUGUGAAUUGCAGAAUUCAGUGAAUCAUCGAAUCUUUGAACGCACAUUGCGCCCGCCAGUAUUCUGGCGGGCAUGCCUGUUCGAGCGUCAUUACAACCCUCAGGCCCCCGGGCCUGGCGUUGGGGAUCGGCGGAAGCCCCCUGCGGGCACAACGCCGUCCCCCAAAUACAGUGGCGGUCCCGCCGCAGCUUCCAUUGCGUAGUAGGUAACACCUCGCAACUGGAGAGCGGCGCGGCCACGCCGUAAAACACCCAACUUCUGAAUGUUGACCUCGAAUCAGGUAGGAAUACCCGCUGAACUUAAGC